RNAcentral lists this ribosomal RNA (508 nucleotides) under uncultured bacterium. RNAcentral's name for it is "partial 16S ribosomal RNA". It matches the Rfam family "Bacterial small subunit ribosomal RNA", at positions 28 to 507 of the family's 1533-position model. The record is from RNAcentral.
GACGAACGCUGGCGGCGUGCUUAACACAUGCAAGUCGAACGGGCCUUGUCCCCUUUUUUUUUGGGGGUGGGGUUAGUGGCGAACGGGUGAGUAACACGUGGGUAACCUGCCCCUCACUUCUGGAUAACCGCUUGAAAGGGUGGCUAAUACGGGGUGUUCUGGCCUGCUCGCAUGGGUGGGUUUGGAAAGAUUCGACCGGUUUUGGUUGUUUUGGUGGGGGAUGGGCUCGCGGCCUAUCAGCUUGUUGGUGGGGUGAUGGCCUGCCAAGGCUUUGACGGGUAGCCGGCCUGAGAGGGUGGGCGGUCACACUGGGACUGGGACACGGCACAGACUCAUACGGGAGGCAGCAGUGGGGAAUAUUGCACAAUGGGCGCAAGCCUGAUGCAGCGACGCCGCGUGAGGGAUGGAGGCCUUCGGGUUGUGAACCUCUUUCGCCAGUGAAGAAGGUCCUGCUCUUUGUGGUGGGGUUGACGGUAGCCGGGUUAAUGAAGCGCCGGCUAACUACGUG